GCAAGUCGAGCGCACCUUCGGGUGAGCGGCGGACGGGUUAGUAACGCGUGGGAAUAUACCCCUUUCUACGGAAUAGCCUCGGGAAACUGAGAGUAAUACCGUAUACGCCCUUCGGGGGAAAGAUUUAUCGGAGAGGGAUUAGCCCGCGUUGGAUUAGAUAGUUGGUGGGGUAAUGGCCUACCAAGUCUACGAUCUAUAGCUGGUUUGAGAGGAUGAUC
RNAcentral lists this ribosomal RNA (218 nucleotides) under uncultured bacterium. RNAcentral's name for it is "partial 16S ribosomal RNA". It matches the Rfam family "Bacterial small subunit ribosomal RNA", at positions 57 to 305 of the family's 1533-position model. The record is from RNAcentral.